Trachemys scripta elegans is the source of this 745-nucleotide long non-coding RNA. RefSeq lists it as uncharacterized. The transcript is spliced from 3 exons. The record is from RefSeq and is a predicted model, not a curated record. Lineage: Eukaryota; Metazoa; Chordata; Testudines; Emydidae.
CACUGAAUCAAAGUGCUAGAAAAUUCCUUUUCUCAGGCACUUCUGAGGCUGAAGGAAGACACAACAGUUGAGCUGCACCCUUCAUUUCCUACUUUGUUCAAAAAAGUUUACACAAUGAAAACACACAAGAAACCCAGUGAUCAGAAUAGAGCUGGUUUCCACCAGAUCUGCAUAGACCACAGGAAAACUUAUCAUCUGUCUCUCUCUUCACGGGGUACCUCUUGCAAGUAAGAUAAAGCUAAUCAAAGCCUGGAGCAGUUGUGCCAGGACAGAGUGCAUUAGGCAUACAGAAGCCACUACUCUGAAAGCCACUACUCUGAAAGAAGCCACUAGGUGGCCUUGUCUAUGUAAGCAGGAAUGAUUUGAUAUGCUCCUUUAUAUUUUAAUUGAAAUGGAAUGCACAGAUACUGCCUGCUGCAAAGAGAAAAUUCACUCUAAUGAAUGAGUGAAAGCUUGUGUGGUCUUAAAUGUUUGUCUAAUAUGUACAAAUAUUCCAUAAAGGAUUUUGGACAUUUUUUUUCUGUUCUUGUCAUUUAAAAUGAAAGUGUUUCAGUAUCAAAAAUAAAUUCCUGUAUUUGUUCCCAAGGCUUAAACAAUUCUCAUGUACCUGCACUACAAUAUCCAUUUUCCCAGUGGCUUGAAUGACCAUACAGUUCUACCUGAUUUUCAUACCUCAGAUGUAAAAAACUGUAUCAAUGAACUUUGAGUUCUCAUUGCAAGUGUGUUUCUAUUGCAGAUAAAUAGA